Molecule: ribosomal RNA, 231 nt
Filed under: Escherichia coli
Lineage: Bacteria; Pseudomonadati; Pseudomonadota; Gammaproteobacteria; Enterobacterales; Enterobacteriaceae
Description: partial 16S ribosomal RNA
Rfam family: Bacterial small subunit ribosomal RNA
Source: RNAcentral
UUAAAUUGAAGAGUUUGAUCAUGGCUCAGAUUGAACGCUGGCGGCAGGCCUAACACAUGCAAGUCGAACGGUAACAGGAAGCAGCUUGCUGCUUUGCUGACGAGUGGCGGACGGGUGAGUAAUGUCUGGGAAACUGCCUGAUGGAGGGGGAUAACUACUGGAAACGGUAGCUAAUACCGCAUAACGUCGCAAGACCAAAGAGGGGGACCUUCGGGCCUCUUGCCAUCGGAU